UACGUAGGUGGCAAGCGUUGUCCGGAAUUAUUGGGCGUAAAGCGCGCGCAGGCGGCCUUUUAAGUCUGAUGUGAAAUCUUGCGGCUCAACCGCAAGCGGCAUUGGAAACUGGGAGGCUUGAGUACAGAAGAGGAGAGUGGAAUUCCACGUGUAGCGGUGAGAUGCGUAGAUAUGUGGAGGAACACCAGUGGCGAAGGCGACUCUCUGGUCUGUAACUGACGCUGAGGCGCGAAAGCGUGGGGAGC
Molecule: ribosomal RNA, 245 nt
Filed under: uncultured bacterium
Lineage: Bacteria
Description: partial 16S ribosomal RNA
Rfam family: Bacterial small subunit ribosomal RNA
Source: RNAcentral